Notothenia coriiceps (black rockcod) is the source of this 662-nucleotide long non-coding RNA. RefSeq lists it as uncharacterized. The record is from RefSeq and is a predicted model, not a curated record. NCBI's taxonomy places the organism in Eukaryota, Metazoa, Chordata, Actinopteri, Perciformes, Nototheniidae. The transcript is spliced from 2 exons.
UAAGCUUGAUCGCCAGAAUAGAAUUGCAAAGUGGUUUCUAAUUAUAAAAUGAGAAACUUUACAUAAUAACAUAACCUAGACUGUAGAAUAUUCAAACACCACUUUAUUGAAGCUAACACAAGUUGAGACAUUUGCAUAAUUUCAUACACUUCGGUAUGCACUGUACACAGUGGAUUUAGAUUUUUACCACAGAUUUCUAUUUUCAUAUUUCAAAGUCAAAACCAUACUGUACACUGUACAAUUUUUAUUUUUAAAAAUUUAAAAUUUGCACAAAUUUUAUAUUUUAAUUUACUUUAAUAAUAUUUACAUACAACUAAAAAAAAAAAAAAAACAACCCUGAUUUAAAGUUAAGAUCGGAUGACAUAGGAUAUUAUUUAUCAGGAACAAAGGUGCUAGUCGGAGGAUUAGUGCUUCAAUCUUUGAUAACUUCGUAAUUUCAUUCGAAUAGGAAGAAAACAUGCCACUUAAACAAACUAAGUUGAGACUAGACGCAGAGCCAGGCUCAACAGCAGAUAUCAAGGGAAGGAUAAAAAUCAGAUCAGAUGCUAUUACAACUAAGACUCUUGAAGAUACAAAUGGCUGAGAAAGAUACCGAAGCUAAUAAAAACAAGAAAGCGGCAAGGCAAAUGGCAGCUACAUCAGAGAAGGCAGGGCAGAUUCCU